Long non-coding RNA from Ahaetulla prasina, 3272 nucleotides. RefSeq lists it as uncharacterized. The transcript is spliced from 3 exons. Lineage: Eukaryota; Metazoa; Chordata; Lepidosauria; Squamata; Colubridae. The record is from RefSeq and is a predicted model, not a curated record.
CCAGUUUCAAGAUUCAGCUGCUCAGCAGAGCCAAUUCAACAGGGACAUAUGAGGACAUCCAGGUGCUUAGUCUUCAGGGAUGUAUGAGGUCAUCCAGUGUUCUGAGAUGUGGAACAGUCACUGUUUUGUGUUUCAGUUUCCUGAGAAAGCACAGAUUUGGCCAUUGAUAUUCAGUUCUUCUUUUUCAGAACUUUGAAACUGCAGAAAAAACAAUUGCUACUACCCUGCCUUCCAAGUCAAAAAGAGGGCUGUGAAAAUAUUUAUAGAUGCCUCACAUCCUGUACACAAAUUAUUUCAACACCUACCCACAAAAUGGCACUGUACAGCCCUGCACGGCAGAACAACUAGACAUAAGAAUAGUUUUUUCCCGAACUCCAUCACUCUGCUAAACAAAUAAUUCCCUCAACACUGUCAAACUAUUAACUAAGACUGCAUUACUAUUAUAUUAGUCUUCUCAUUGUUCCUAUCACCCAUCUCCUCCCACUUAUGACUGUAUAACUGUAACUUGUUGAUUGUAUCCUUAUGAUUUAUAUUGAUUGUUUCCUAGUAUGAUUUGAUUGCUUAUUUGUACCCUAUGACUAUCAUUAAGUGUUAUACCUUAUGAUUCUUGAUAUAUGUAUCUUUUCACUUGUAUGUACACUGACAGCAUGUGCACCAAAGACAAAUUAUUUGUGUGUCCAAUCACACUUGGACAAUAAAGAAUUCUAUUCUAUUCUUUUCUAUUCAGUACUUCAUCUAUUCAAGUGUAUAGUACCAAUGACAAAUUCAUUGCAAAAUAUGUGGAUUUGAGACAUAGACAAAAACUCUGAAUGUAUUAUGCAGAAAUUUUUAUGUUCUGCUUUCCAUAAAGUGAUAGCUUAGUGCCGUUGCCUUGCUUUAAAAUCUGAUGUUGAAGCUUCCAGGUUUUAAGAUAGCAUCCGAUUACAGAGUGUGACAGUACACAACUGUUAUUUUGGAAAUAGCUGGUGAACAAUGUCAUUUUAUCAACCUUCCACUUCAUUGUAUCAGAAAAACAUUCAGCCAGUUCUUAGAGGUUGUAUUUUCAAGCACCAGCCAUUAUAAAGCUGAUUUUUAAAUAUCCUAAUCUAAGGCAAAGCCAGCCAAUGGCCACAUGAACAUCUAAGAAGUUAAGGUUUAGGAACAUCAAACAUGGCUUGAUUGCUAUUAUUGGAGAUUCCUGGAAAUAAAGAAUUGAAAUGCUCAGAGUUUUAGCUUCAUUACAUUGGCAGUUUGAGACCAGAUAUAUUUAGCAGAAGUGAAAUGCAACUUCUAAUGAGAUGUCAAAAACUGAAGAGACUACACCGAGCUAUUUUGGAGGUGUGGGCUAUAGUGGAAAAGAGGGUUGGUUUUUUUUCCUUUUCUUUUCUCUUUUGAAAAAAGUCAAACAUUUUUUUUGGCAAAUCAGGAGUUUUAAAGGCUUCGCACAGAACAAUUACAUACCAGUUUCAAUGAUAAUACUACAAGAAAUAGGUCAGAAUAAUGGUCCUAAUUACCACAACUCAAUCUGUUUUGGGACUUGCAUAUUUUUUUCCUCAACUCCGUGACAUUUAGUGAGGUUAAAAAAUAUGCUGAAAAUGAGAAUAGCUUUGUAAAAUGGGAAAUGCAAUGCACCUGAUGUAUUUUCAAGUGCGGGGGAACAAUUUUGUCCAAAAUACCACUGGGCAAAGAUAUUUUGUCCUUUCCAUAUAUGAAGAUGCCAAGUAUUUCCUUGCCUUCAAUUUAUGAUUGCAUACUGAAUUUCAUGGGCAGAAUGGGGUGACAAAUGGAUUGAUUGAUCAGGAACUUCCAAAUGAAGUGUAGGAACAAAGCAGGAGUUGCACUAGCAGAUUAAAGCUGAAGGACACAUUCUAAAAGUAGAAUAGAAUAGAAUAGAAUAGAAUAGAAUAGAAUAGAAUAGAAUAGAAUAGAAUAGAAUAACAGAGUUGGAAGGGACCUUGUGGGUCUUCUAGCCCAACCCCCUGCUUAGGCAGGUAACCCUUCAGACAAAUGGUUAUCCAACAUUUUCUUAAAAAUUUCCAGUGUUGGAGCAUUCACAAUUUCUGCAGGCAAGUUGUUCCACUUAUUAAUUGUUCUAACUGUCAGGAAAUUUCUCCUUAGUUCUAAGCUGUUUCUCUCCUUGAUUAGUUUCCACCCAUUGCUUCUUGUCCUUCCCUCAGGUGCGUUGGAAAAAUAGGUUGACUCCUACUUCUUUGUGGCAGCCCCUGAGAUAUUGGAAUGCUGCUAUCAUGUCUCCCCUAGUCCUUCUUUUCAUUAAACUAGACAUACCCAGUUCCAGCAACUGUUCUUUGCAUGUUUUAGCCUCCAGUCCCCUAAUCAACUUUGUUGCUCUUCUCUGCACUCUUUCUAGAGUCUCAACAUCUUUUUUACAUCGUAAAAAAGUUCGUAAAAAACCUUAGGAUGACAGACAAGUCAGAAGGUUGAUCAAAGAACAAAAAAAGUGUAUUGAAUAAAAGACGCAAGAUACAAUCAAACCUCAAGAAUGCAUCUUGGUCUUCAGAUAAGGCUGAAGUGGAGAAGAAAUCCUCCAACAUUCAUUGUUCAAAUGAGUGAGGGAAAGAUUGAAGGCAAACAAGGCCCAGGCAGAAGAAGAACAUCAUGGCUUCAAAAUCUAAUGGACUGGUUUGGACAAAACUCAGCAGCACUUUUUCGUGCGACUGUUGAUAAAAAUAGGAUCGCCAACAUCCGAUGAUGGAUAUGGCACAAGAAAAAGAAGAUAUAAGUAGAGCCAAAUCAUGCCAUUAUGAAACUGAGUGGCAAUACAAGAGAAUCCAAAAACCUCCAACGAGAUUCCUUCCUUCCACAUCAAAAACUGGUCAACAUUAAUCUAUGAACAAAAUGCUGAAUUAGUUCAUUUUCUGGUAUAUUCUUAUUUGUGUCAAGUAGAAUUUCUUUUUGUGCUAGCUUUUUAAAAGAUCAAUAGGUACAUGCAUUAAAUUAAGAACAAUGUGUUUAUCAUUUUCAAUAUAUAUGGACACUAACAGAAAUAAAGUUACUAGUAUGCAAUCACAUUCCAGAAUCCAGACCCAUGAAUGGGUUUCCUUGUAUUUAGCUCUUGAAAUCUCACAAAAUACUGAAUAACUGUGGCUCUACCAUGAGCUUAAACUUCAAUAGGGCUGACUCUUCUCUAAACUAACUCAUGUAAAAAUAAAUGGAUAUAAGCCGAAAUUGUGCAUGAAUGCAUAGCAACAGUUUAAAAUGUUGCUGUGAAUAUUGGGUGUUUGAUGGGCAUUGAUAGCUGAAUACAUCAUACUUUUAUCUUUUGAACAAAGCAA